UUCUUUCAGUCUCUCAACCUCUCUCUCUAACUCUUUUACCUUUUCGUUAACCAGUUUGACUUUCUCAUUCUCUGCAAUACGCAUGUCUCUUUCUCUUUCAAAUAUGAUUUCCUUCUCAAUCUCUUUCAAUCUCUCAAUCUCUCGUUCUAACGCUUUUAUCGUUUCUUCUGCCUGUUCCACUUUCUUCUUCAUUUCUUGUCUUUCCAAUUCUGCUUUUCUCUUCCUUUCCAUCUCCCUUUCUCUCUCUCUUUCCCUCUCUCUUCCUGUUUCAAUAGGUUUGUUGUUCCAGGCCAGUCUUGGUCGCUGAUCCUCCAUGACUUUCUGCCAUAGCCUCAAUCUCUCAAUCUCUUGCUUCAUUUUAAAAGAGGCACACUUGGAGUCUGUCCAUCUCCUUCUUCUGAUUUCGGAUUGUUCGAUUCUUCCCCCUCAACUCAAGCAUGUGGGCUUCCUUCUCUGUAUAGGUCUUCUUCUCUUCUCUCGGGAAGUGAACCUCCAUCUCUGCCUGCUUGUAGCUGGGAGCAAAGGAAUGUCAACACAUUAUUUAGGAAGUGAACUCAGACAAUUUACUACAAUAUUAAAAUAAUAAUUCAACUUCUGCUCAAUUUAACUGUCUUUAAUAACACAAAUCACACAACUGUGACUUACAGUACGUGAAUGUGAUGAGUUGACUGUCCAUGAUGGCCAGAGGUGGGUAAUGUGUCACUCUGGUCCAGGGCGUUACGUACAGCUUGCAGACACUGAGCCUUCCUUCAGCAAGCCGCACAUAAUGCCCUGGACCAGAGCUAGGUUAUGUGAUGAAUGACUUACAGACUGUUCCACAUGAUAGGAGGGGGUAAGAAGACAGUCCCAGUAGGAGACGGAGAUCGUCCAGAAGAAGAAGAGGUGUCCAUCUCCUCAGAGACUGCAGGAAAGGUCUACAAGUUUUAUUUCUGGAAAAUAAAGAGAUGCCUUCAUUUAGCAACAAUCUGUGUUUCUAUGUUUCUGUCACUAGAUGAUGCCAUUGUACACAACAUUUACUCACCAGGUCAGUGAAUUCAGAAACAGUCUUCAGAGUUGAGUCCUCAAGCUCUAGCCUACAACCCAUCAUGCAUCAGCACAACUAAUAUAAUAAUACCUCAUCACAACUUCAUAAUCACAGUACACCUGGAUUGUGUUCACAAAGUGUUUCAGGGUAGGAGUGCUGAUCUAGGAUCAGGUCGACCUCCUGUCCAUCAAAACGUAUUCAGUUUAAUUUAAAAGACCUAACUGAUUAUUGAUCAGCACUCCUUCUAUGAGACUUUGUGAAUAUGAGCCUAUGUGAAAGAACCUUUCUGGCAUAUGCUGGCUAGACAGUACACAGACAAUUCAGAUAGUCCGACAGACAGACAGAAGAGUAGAUACAGAUGGAGUGAUUGAUAGCAACAGAAAUAACGAAGCGGAUGGUUAAUGUAUUGUAAACUUUUGUAAAUAUUUGACUCACCUCAAAUCACACGUGUCAAACCUCAGUUUUAGUGUUGAACCGAAUAAUAUCCUCGGCAUUAACUUUCUCUGGUCUGGAGCUGUAUUGUUGCGUCAUUUGGAACGCUUGAGCGUCAUAAUCCGUUCACCGCGCCUGCUUGAUUGACAGCUAGGGGUUCUCCUGCGCAUCAGUGUCCAAAAGUCGAUAAUGUUUAGCUACUCAUAAUUGAUAA
Molecule: long non-coding RNA, 1670 nt
Organism: Oncorhynchus mykiss (rainbow trout)
Lineage: Eukaryota; Metazoa; Chordata; Actinopteri; Salmoniformes; Salmonidae
Source: Ensembl